This 437-nucleotide long non-coding RNA is filed under the name Panax ginseng (ginseng). RNAcentral describes it as "long non-coding RNA (PGIN_LNC003583)". The record is from RNAcentral. Lineage: Eukaryota; Viridiplantae; Streptophyta; Magnoliopsida; Apiales; Araliaceae.
UCGUAGUUGAGCUAGAUCAAACAAGAACAACAAGUGUUAAGGCAGAAAUCGUAGUCUGAUGUAUAAUCUACACUUAGAGUAGAAGUGUCUGCAGAACCAAAGCUAGAUCGUAGUCUGCAGAACAAAGUCUUCGACAAAGCCUAUCAUUGCUCACAACGUCAAGGAAGAAUCGUAGUGUUAACACGAUUAUCAACACAUGAGCACUCCCAAAGCAUCCAAAGAAUGAAGCCUCUAGACAGAACUAUAGAGAUGCAAUCUACUUGAAGGAAGCCAGAGAGCAUUCACCUAAUGGCUUACAAGCAAACAGAAGAUCAUAAUACCAAUUCUGUUAGCAUCUUGAUUGAGACGUGAAGCCAAUCAAGAGAAGUCUUCUACAAGCAACAGUAAGAAGACUUCAGAUAACUUGACUGACAAAAGGAAGUCAGCCAUGCAGUAAU